Molecule: ribosomal RNA, 253 nt
Filed under: uncultured bacterium
Lineage: Bacteria
Description: partial 16S ribosomal RNA
Rfam family: Bacterial small subunit ribosomal RNA
Source: RNAcentral
UACGUAGGGGGCAAGCGUUGUCCGGAAUCAUUGGGCGUAAAGCGCACGUAGGUGGUCCGCUAAGUCGCGUGUGAAAUCCCCCGGCUCAACCGGGGAAUUGCGCGCGAUACUGGCGGACUAGAGAUCGGGAGGGGUGAGUGGAACUCCAGGUGGAGCGGUGAAAUGCGUAGAUAUCUGGAGGAACACCGGUGGCGAAAGCGACUCACUGGCCCGACACUGACACUGAGGUGCGAAAGCUAGGGUAGCAAACGGG